This 939-nucleotide ribosomal RNA is filed under the name human gut metagenome. RNAcentral describes it as "bacterial SSU rRNA". It matches the Rfam family "Bacterial small subunit ribosomal RNA", at positions 376 to 1317 of the family's 1533-position model. The record is from RNAcentral.
CGAGAGCCUGAACCAGCCAAGUCGCGUGAAGGAUGAAGGAUCUAUGGUUUGUAAACUUCUUUUAUAUGGGAAUAAAGUGAGGAACGUGUUCCUUUUUGUAUGUACCAUAUGAAUAAGCAUCGGCUAACUCCGUGCCAGCAGCCGCGGUAAUACGGAGGAUGCGAGCGUUAUCCGGAUUUAUUGGGUUUAAAGGGUGCGUAGGUGGUUAAUUAAGUCAGCGGUGAAAGUUUGUGGCUCAACCAUAAAAUUGCCGUUGAAACUGGUUGACUUGAGUAUAUUUGAGGUAGGCGGAAUGCGUGGUGUAGCGGUGAAAUGCAUAGAUAUCACGCAGAACUCCGAUUGCGAAGGCAGCUUACUAAACUAUAACUGACACUGAAGCACGAAAGCGUGGGGAUCAAACAGGAUUAGAUACCCUGGUAGUCCACGCAGUAAACGAUGAUUACUAGCUGUUUGCGAUACACAGUAAGCGGCACAGCGAAAGCGUUAAGUAAUCCACCUGGGGAGUACGCCGGCAACGGUGAAACUCAAAGGAAUUGACGGGGGCCCGCACAAGCGGAGGAACAUGUGGUUUAAUUCGAUGAUACGCGAGGAACCUUACCCGGGUUUGAACGCAUUCGGACCGGAGUGGAAACACUUCUUCUAGCAAUAGCCGUUUGCGAGGUGCUGCAUGGUUGUCGUCAGCUCGUGCCGUGAGGUGUCGGGUUAAGUCCCAUAACGAGCGCAACCCCUACCGUUAGUUGCCAUCAGGUCAAGCUGGGCACUCUAGCGGGACUGCCGGUGUAAGCCGAGAGGAAGGUGGGGAUGACGUCAAAUCAGCACGGCCCUUACAUCCGGGGCGACACACGUGUUACAAUGGUGGGGACAAAGGGCAGCUACCUGGCGACAGGAUGCUAAUCUCCAAACCCCAUCUCAGUUCGGAUCGAAGUCUGCAACCCGACU